Molecule: long non-coding RNA, 2207 nt
Organism: Crotalus tigris (Tiger rattlesnake)
Lineage: Eukaryota; Metazoa; Chordata; Lepidosauria; Squamata; Viperidae
Exons: 2
Source: RefSeq, a predicted model, not a curated record
UCUUCCUGAAUUUUUUGUUUUUCUUUUUCAGUGAUAUGUGUACAUUAGAAAGCAAGAUCUUUUAAAAAUAUAUCCCAGAAGAAAACAAUGGAAAGUUAAAGUUUUGUUACCCAAAAAACAAUGAAGCUUAUCUUAAGAGAUUUCAAAGAUAAGCUAUGGCUUAUUCACUGACAUUGAUUGAAUAUACUGUACCCCAUUUGCCUUGGUUUAUUGAUGCUACACCAGGAAUCAUGACAUUAUGUAAUAUGCUGAAUGAUAAAUAAGCACAUGCUAAGCCAGAAAGCUGAAUGUAAAGUGCAAACAUUAAUCACAUUUUUUACAAGCCUGGUUCACACAAGAUCCUAAACUAUUGAUGGGUGAACCCUGGUCUACAAGCUUUAUGCUGUACUCCAUCCCAUGUAUAUAUCCUUAAAUGGUCAUCCAAUUCAUACUACUGAAAUUUAGCAGCAAAACUGUAGUCUUUGUGGCAGCACAAUUUACCUUUUAGCAAAAUUAAAUCUUUGUCAGGCUUACUGUAAUUGGUUCGAAUUGAAAGACAAAUUAGUAUUAUUUCUCUGCCGCACAGAACAGAAAAGGACCAAAAAAAUCUCAGUUCUCCUGUGCUCUUUCCCCAUCUGUAUGAAGUCUUCCCAAAUCUUUUAGCAAUAAGGAAGUGGUGCCCAUAAGAAAAAAGAUUCCCAAUUUUUACUAAUUAGUCAUUUAUUCAAUAAACCAUGAUUAAGCAAACCAUUAAUGUAUUGUACAAACCCAGAUAAUUAAAUCUUGGUUCUUUAAAGAAGGGAUCCCAUUCCAGUCCCCCUGUGAGGGAGGCUGGUAGUUUCAAAUUUAGAGAGAGAUGAUAGAUGAUGGAUGGAUAGAUAGGUGAUAUAGAAGAUGAGAGAGAGGGAGGGGGGGCUGGUAUUUCAAAGGGUCUUAAAGACCUGGCUCUUCACCCGCCUUUGGAGAGAAUGGCUGAUGCUUGCUUUCUGUUUCCCUCUGGGUUUAUUCUCUUUGCCAUCAUUGUUCUUUUGUGCUGUUUUUGUGGGUUUUGUAUUGUUUAUUUUAAAAUGUUUUAAUUGUAAACCUCUGAGUUGCUGGAAGCUGGAUGGCAUACAUAUUUAAUAAAUUAUCAAGCUAGAUUUCUGCUGUAGUUCAUGCUAUGCUAAAUUUCAGUUUGUAUUACCAUGGUUUAGUGGUAGAUAGUUAAUCCAUUUAUUUGCAACUAUAGGUUUUAGUAAAAAUCCUUAUAAAAUUACAGCAAUCCUUACCGGCUCAAUUCAUCGCCCCUACAAUUAAUAGCAGUUAUCCGUCAACAUCUUCCUUGCAGUCACUGCAAGCAAAGCAACUUGUUUUAUUACACGUUGCUCUACACUGGUCAGCAGGAAAUGGAUUGCAAUAAACUAUGAUUAGUUUCAACCCAUCAGACAACUGUUCCUGUACAACCCCAAGACUUAACGAUCAGCAAAAGAGGGCAACAAUGGCAACCAUCCAUGAAAGAAUGGCUGAUUUUCAUCCUGAGCACAAGGGUCUGGUACUGUGUUUUGCUCUCAGGGGAAAAAAAAAAAAAAAGAUUUCUGCAUUGAAAUCUCUGCCUGACAGCCAAGAGAGGAUUUCUGUCGGACCAGACAGCAUGUGCCAAGGGCUGGAACAGCAGGAACUUAGCAGAUGGGUUUCACAGACAACUGGCACCACACCACCGCUCCAUGCCCUAGUAGGCACCAGCCCUUUCGUGGAUGCUAAAUUUUUAAUUCUGAAAUUUAAAAGAACCAGCAAAUGUCCUGGGGGUUUCAAGCUGCUUCUUGAUUGAGAGCGGGCAGACGCAGCGGCUGUCAAACCAAAGUAAACAGCGCCUCUUUGCUUGCCUAAUUAAGAGCACCAAUCUUUACCUCUUCAAACCAGUCAGCAGUCUCGAUUUCCCAAGGUCUUCAAGUGCUCUUCUUUUAAAGGGCUAUUCAUCGUGGCCAGCCAUUUUUUUUUUCCUCCCAAGAAGCAAGCAAAAUGGGAAAAGAGCAAAAACACGGAUGGAGGCUCAGUCGCAAUGAAACAGCCCACACUCUGGAUGUGCCAGUGUGAUUGCAGAAGGACAGGACUUGAGUGCAAUCCUUUCAUCUGGAUUUUUUUUCCGGUCAGCCAGCUGGUUUUUGUUUUUGAAAAGCCUUUUGCUGUCCACGAUAUUAUAUCUUUCAGUGACAAGUAAAAAUUCACAAAGUAAAACAUUCCCCAACAUG